This 423-nucleotide ribosomal RNA is filed under the name Triticum aestivum (bread wheat). Its description in RNAcentral is "partial small subunit ribosomal RNA". The record is from RNAcentral. Lineage: Eukaryota; Viridiplantae; Streptophyta; Magnoliopsida; Poales; Poaceae.
AUGGAAUUCACAGGCAACCUCGAUGAAGAUAACGAGCUGGAAAGUCUAAUUGACUCACAGCUUGUUGCCCUUCAUCAGGGAAACUCGGCCCGUUCAUCCUCGAUGACCUUCCUGACCAGCACUGAAGGGGAAGAUUCACUUGGCUUUGAAUGCCAGAUGAUUGCAACCUUCCAGGAACAACUUUGUUGUGAACUGGUGGGUUCCGUGGACCGUCGGUGGGGCAACAAUACGAACAAACCCCUAAAUAACUACAACGAACGUGCCUUCGGCAUAGACACGCAGAACACUAUCUAUCACCAUCAGGAAGAUCCCGACCUCCAAGAGCAGGUCAUUGCCUAUGUCACUGGCGCACUGGACCUCCUCAACCAACGUGAUAGAAAUGACGAGGUUGAUGGGGACUAUGAGGUUUCUAGCCCUUCUUAG